RNAcentral lists this ribosomal RNA (550 nucleotides) under Ciboria amentacea. Its description in RNAcentral is "eukaryotic LSU rRNA". It matches the Rfam family "Eukaryotic large subunit ribosomal RNA", at positions 55 to 606 of the family's 3401-position model. Lineage: Eukaryota; Fungi; Ascomycota; Leotiomycetes; Helotiales; Sclerotiniaceae. The record is from RNAcentral.
GGAAAAGAAACCAACAGGGAUUACCUCAGUAACGGCGAGUGAAGCGGUAAAAGCUCAAAUUUGAAAUCUGGCUCUUUUAGAGUCCGAGUUGUAAUUUGUAGAAGAUGCUUCGGGUGUGGUUCCGGUCUAAGUUCCUUGGAACAGGACGUCAUAGAGGGUGAGAAUCCCGUAUGUGACUGGAUACCUACGCCCAUGUGAAGCUCUUUCGACGAGUCGAGUUGUUUGGGAAUGCAGCUCAAAAUGGGUGGUAUAUUUCAUCUAAAGCUAAAUAUUGGCCAGAGACCGAUAGCGCACAAGUAGAGUGAUCGAAAGAUGAAAAGCACUUUGGAAAGAGAGUUAAACAGUACGUGAAAUUGUUGAAAGGGAAGCGCUUGCAACCAGACUUGCGCUCGUUGCUCAGUAGGGCCUCGUGCCCUAUGUUUAUUCUUCGAGUUCAGGCCAGCAUCAGUUUGGGUGGUUAGAUAAAGGCUUAGAGAAUGUGGCCCUCUUCGGGGGGUGUUAUAGCUCUAGGUGCAAUGUAGCCUACCUGGACUGAGGACCGCGCUUCGGC